Dioscorea cayenensis subsp. rotundata (Guinea yam) is the source of this 537-nucleotide long non-coding RNA. RefSeq lists it as uncharacterized. The transcript has 2 exons. Lineage: Eukaryota; Viridiplantae; Streptophyta; Magnoliopsida; Dioscoreales; Dioscoreaceae. The record is from RefSeq and is a predicted model, not a curated record.
CACAGAACAUUGGUCACCUUUGAUUGGUGUGUGUGUAUAUAUAUACACAACCAAAUAAAGGCUCUAUCUAAAUUCCCUCCAAAAAUUCUUCAAUCUUUGUCUCUUGAACUUGAACUUGAUCUUUUAGUUUGAAGAUGAAUGAUCCCGGAAAUGCUUACCCAUACUCUGCUCCAGGUUAUUAUCAGCAAGGGGCACCACCAGUGAUGGUACCACCACAGUCUAUGGGUCCACCGGCAGGAGAACCUACUUUUCUUGAACAAUUGUAUAAUCAAAUAUCCGCUUUGGGUUUUCAUUGUUAUGCGUUAAUUUAUGUUAUUUAAUUUUAGUUAUUUAAUUUUGUGGCAGGUUAUCUUUUCUUUGUUGUUGUUGCAUGUUUGAUGAGUGUUGUUGUGACCCUUCAACGACAAACAUAUAUGUUUGAUGAUGAAAAGAAAUUAUAAUAUCUUUUUAAUGCAGUUGUAAAUUGUGAUCCUAUUUUACUAUUUGUGGUUUGUAAUAUCUUGAUGAUGGAAUAAAAUGAAUAUGUGUUUAGUGCGA